RNAcentral lists this ribosomal RNA (468 nucleotides) under uncultured bacterium. RNAcentral describes it as "partial 16S ribosomal RNA". It matches the Rfam family "Bacterial small subunit ribosomal RNA", at positions 28 to 507 of the family's 1533-position model. The record is from RNAcentral.
GACGAACGCUGGCGGCGUGCUUAACACAUGCAAGUCGAACGGAAAGGCCCUGCUUUUGUGGGGUGCUCGAGUGGCGAACGGGUGAGUAACUCGUGAGUAACCUGCCCUCGACUUUGGGAUAACUUCAGGAAACUGGGGCUACUACCGGAUAGGAGCUCCUGCUGCAUGGUGGGGGUUGGAAAGGUGCGGCGGUUGGGGUUGGACACCCGGCUUAUGAGCUUGUUGGUGGGGGAGUGGCUUACCAAGGCUUUGACGGAUAGCCGGCCUGGGUGGGUGACCGGCCACAUUGGGACUGAGAUACGGCGCAGACUGCUACGGGAGACAGCAGUGGGGACUAUGGCACAAUGGGCGGGAGCCUAAUGCAGCGACGCCGCGUGCGGGAUGACGGCCUUCGGGUUGUAAACAGCUUGCGCCUAUGACGAAGCGUGAGUGACGGUAAUGGGUAAAGAAGCACCGGCUAACUACGUG